Long non-coding RNA from Papaver somniferum (opium poppy), 1950 nucleotides. RefSeq lists it as uncharacterized. Lineage: Eukaryota; Viridiplantae; Streptophyta; Magnoliopsida; Ranunculales; Papaveraceae. The transcript is spliced from 4 exons. The record is from RefSeq and is a predicted model, not a curated record.
AUACAUCCUAGCUGUUUGUGGACAGUGAGAAUGAAUGAGAACUGCUUAGAGGAAUAUGAGUUUGAGAGUUGUGUUCCUCCUUUAUUUAUAGCAGAAUUUCUGCUGGUGGCGCGACUUUUCCCCUCUCUUUCGUUUUCAUUCAUCGUGUUGACCAAUUAUGAUAGUCAAUAGUUGCAUGAAUGGACUAAAAUCAUUGACCAUAGUGAAAAUCAAGAUUCAACAAUGGUUUUUCAAUUGAAUUGGGUAUUUAUUCUUGGGAGCAGAAUAGAUAGAUGAACUAAGAAACUCUACUUGUUUGGAUUUUGAGGGGUUGCUGCUGGAGAGGAAGCCAUGAAUGAUUUUGAGCAAACCCCCUAGAUCUAGCUACUUUCAGAUUUUGAAAGAAGGCACUUUGUUCACAAUUGGGUGCUGAUGUUCACCAUUAAGCACAUGGCAGGCUACCACUCAGUUUUAUCGAAUUGAUAGGUGCACUGCUCAGUUCCGGGUACCGAGUGGUGCAAAGGCAGGCCCUGUCAGUUCCUAAAAAUGACAGGUGCAAAGCUAUGUACUUAAUGGAGAACGUUUCACUUAAUGGAAUGAGCAGCUUUGGGAUAUAUGUACUAGACUAUUGGAAAACAGGUAAAUAAACUUCUCUUCAUAUACAAAUUUUUAUUUGUUGUUUUUCAUUUUUAUUUUAUUGGGAACACUUUUUGGAAGUUUGGUACACAAGCAAGACAGUGAUACUCCCUAUGUGGUUCAGCUACAACUGCUGGAACACAGCUAAGUUUGCUUCUUGGGUAAAGUUUCACCAAAAAUAACCUUGUUUAGCUUUUGUUAUAUUGCUGACUUUGGUACUAUACUAUCGGAUUUUGCUUCGGGACAUAUGUAUUAUACUAUUGGAAAACAGGUAAAUAAGCUUCUCUUUCUAUACAAAUUUUUAUUUCUUGUUUUUCAUUUUUGUUGAAGUACACAAACAAGGCAGUGAUAUUCCCUGUUUAGGUGCACAUUCUUAACGCUCUCAAUGUAUACUUAGUUUACCCUUAUAUUGAUAGAAUGCCUGAGUUUCUUUUUUGCUUGGUACUUGUUUAUAAUUUUUGUUCAAGGUUUCUACCCUUUCUUGCGAUGAGUGUCAGGUCAGUAUAUUUUUGCCUUUACAAAGAUAUUUUUGGUUAUUAAAGGUAAUCAUUUGUCAUUAACUCUAUGUUUACCAUAUUCUGCAUUGCUUUUUUUUCUAACUUGAUCUUCGGAGUAUCUUUUUUGUUUUUGCAAGUCUUGCCCUUAAUUAUUCUUCGCAUAAAAUUGUUUAUAACUUCGAGUGUCUUUCAUUUUUUUUUCAUUUUUUUGCAGGUCUUGCAUUUGCAUUCUUAACUCUGGCUCUAUAUUUGUUAACCCUUACUUCACAUUUAUUAUGUUUUGCAUGUAAAUGUUUCUAACUUGAGCGCCGGAGUAUCUUUUCUGUUUUUUUUUUGCAGGUCUUGCCUUUUUAUCCUAACUCUAACUCCAUGUUUAAUAUCUCUCUACGUUUAUUAUGUAUUGCAUAAAACUGUUUCCAACUUGAGCGUUGGAGUAUCUUUUUGUUUUCUUUUGCAGGUCUUGGCUUUGUAUUCCUUACUCAACUCUAUGUUUAUUAACCUUAACUCUACGUUUAUUAUGUAUUGCCUAAAAUUGUUUCUAACUUGAGCGUCGGAGUAUCUUUUUUGUUUUUUUUGCAGGUCUUGUCUUUGUAAUUCCUAUGACCAAUUCAAUUAGCAGAGUUGUUGAAACAGAAUGCUGGUGCCUUGUGGGGAAUGUCAUCUGUUUGGCAGGUCUUGCCCAUAAUUAUUUCUUCGCUUUAACUCUAUGUCUGUUGUGAGGCGAUUGAUUUAUCUAGGAUGUUCUUCGGGAAUAUAAGACCGGAUUAUCAAUUGGUUCCUGUUCACCUUGAUUAUUAUCAAAAGAAGGAACAAAAACUUUAGAGUUUUUCUGUGGGAG